Ictidomys tridecemlineatus (thirteen-lined ground squirrel) is the source of this 107-nucleotide small nuclear RNA. The record is from Ensembl. Lineage: Eukaryota; Metazoa; Chordata; Mammalia; Rodentia; Sciuridae.
GUGCUCACUUCGGCAGCACAUAUGCUAAAAUUGGAAUGAUACAGAGAAGAUUAGUAUGGCCACUGAGCAAGGAUGACAUAUAAAUUCAUGAAGCAUUCCAUAUUUUU